Tarenaya hassleriana is the source of this 393-nucleotide long non-coding RNA. RefSeq lists it as uncharacterized. The transcript is spliced from 2 exons. The record is from RefSeq and is a predicted model, not a curated record. Lineage: Eukaryota; Viridiplantae; Streptophyta; Magnoliopsida; Brassicales; Cleomaceae.
UGUGUAUACGCGUGAUAGAGGAAACGCAAACCUCGAAGCGCGUAAACCUAGAUUUCUCAGGACCACCAUUGAAAUCUCUCGUUUCCUUCAUUGCUAUCCUUUGGCUGUCGGAAUCCUUCACCAGCUACGCCUGUUCAUCGAAGGGCGAGUGCGCCUGGCGAAGAUUCAACCAUCAUCUCGACUCGGGCUGUUGUAUCUGUGGCAUCGGAUUAGGGUUAGGGUUUUGUGGAGAAGAGCAACGUGCAUCGAAUUGUUGGUUGAUUUUGUGUAAUUUCAUAUGCUUUAUGUUGUUCCUGCUCUUCUGGUUUAGAAAAAAACCCUCGAUUCAUGUAAAUCCCGCCGCUGUAUGAUUAAUGAUUUCCGGAUAGUAAUUUUUUUCGUAUUUUCGAUUUU